This 29-nucleotide non-coding RNA is filed under the name Mus musculus (house mouse). The record is from RNAcentral. Lineage: Eukaryota; Metazoa; Chordata; Mammalia; Rodentia; Muridae.
UAAUUAACUAUUGAAUCUAUAAUGUCUAC